GAUGAACGCUGGCGGCGUGCCUAAUACAUGCAAGUCGAGCGAACAGACUAGGAGCUUGCUCCUCUGACGUUAGCGGCGGACGGGUGAGUAACACGUGGAUAACCUACCUAUAAGACUGGGAUAACUUCGGGAAACCGGAGCUAAUACCGGAUAAUAUAUUGAACCGCAUGGUUCAAUAGUGAAAGACGGUUUUGCUGUCACUUAUAGAUGGAUCCGCGCCGCAUUAGCUAGUUGGUAAGGUAACGGCUUACCAAGGCAACGAUGCGUAGCCGACCUGAGAGGGUGAUCGGACACACUGGAACUGAGACACGGUCCAGACUCCUACGGGAGGCAGCAGUAGGGAAUCUUCCGCAAUGGGCGAAAGCCUGACGGAGAAACGCCGCGUGAGUGAUGAAGGUCUUCGGAUCGUAAAACUCUGUUAUUAGGGAAGAACAAAUGUGUAAGUAACUAUGCACGUCUUGACGGUACCUAAUCAGAAAGCCACGGCUAACUACGUG
RNAcentral lists this ribosomal RNA (497 nucleotides) under uncultured bacterium. RNAcentral's name for it is "partial 16S ribosomal RNA". It matches the Rfam family "Bacterial small subunit ribosomal RNA", at positions 28 to 507 of the family's 1533-position model. The record is from RNAcentral.